This 2261-nucleotide long non-coding RNA is filed under the name Populus trichocarpa (black cottonwood). Its description in RNAcentral is "long non-coding RNA (PTRI_LNC003242)". Lineage: Eukaryota; Viridiplantae; Streptophyta; Magnoliopsida; Malpighiales; Salicaceae. The record is from RNAcentral.
UAAUAUCCUAAACACUAUCUAAGAAUCAAUUCUUCCCGUAUUAAAACUAAAGCCCUCUUAAACGGUUCUUUUAUACUUAGAUAUUCCAUUACAAAAGAAAAAAGUUUUAUCUCGCACCCUUCUUUAAUCAAACCCCAAUAUACCAAGAAAUUAAGUGCUUCGUUUAGGAACAUGGUUACCCCGCAUAGACAUAGCCUCUUCGUACACCGAGUACAUGAAUAAUGAGGAAUCUCGAUCCUAAGCGAAGAACAAUGUUAUGGUUGAUCUCUCAGUCUCAUUUUUCACUCAUUUCUCUACCAAAAUUCCCCCACAAUAACUCUCUUGAAAGGACAAAACUUAAUGCUCCUGAAACCUCUUUGGAAAUCCAGACAGGUCCUGAGGAGUUCAUAGAUCAAAUUCCUACGCAUGGCCUGAAGUCAUCAUGCAGAUUAUUAAGAACAAGGAGGUGCAUGGAUGUCAAAGAUGCGAGAGAAAGGGAGAAGAUUCUUCAAGCUGUGGGGACUGACAUAAUUUGAAUGUUUUGAAGAGAAUUAUUCAGACCACAACAUGGGUACAUGAUAGAUAAUUGGGGAUAAUCCAUGACAAGCCAUUCUCCUACAUAAACAGGCUCUAUAUGUGGAAUUUCAAGUCGCCUUGUGGGACGAUAUGCGACAGCCCCGAUAUAUAUAUUUAUCUACUCUUUGCUUGUAAGUGCAAGGUGUUAACCUUUUCCAAGAUUUACUGCAAAUAAAUGGAAUUAUGAAUUUACAAUAUAUAUAUAUAAUCCAACCCCAUUUUUAAUUUCCAAUCAAAGGAAUGAAUGAAAUUGGAGAAUUCACUCUGGAUUGAACUCCUUUAUUUCAAGGGUAAAUGAUAUAUUAUGUUGGUGAAAACCAAAUUAUCAGUUUAAACCUCAAUGAUUAAGAUUUUAUUUUAUAUUAAAUGGUUAGAAUUUUCUUCAAAUUAACAAUUAUUUUUUUCUAUAAAAAUCUAAGAUUUGGAUUACUCCUAAUUAGGAGUCAAAUCCCAAGCAGUUUUACUUGAAAUUCAAACUUCAGGAAAAACUUGUGUAUCACAUAAAUAGUUAACAACUCAUUAAAGUCUCAGAAAAAAAUACUGCACUCUAUUUACAUUAUUCAAUAUGUUCAUGAAGUACAGUCUAGUUCUUCGAUUAACUUCACACAUAGAUCAGUGCACCUUUCAUAGAUUUCUUAAAUUCCACCGAUGAUUUUCGACAAGUUUGGAAAUUGUGGUACCUUCAAGAGUCUCAUUUUUCCUCAUGUCGGCCGAGUGAAUUCACAAGCAGCUUGAAUUCUUCUUGACUUUGCUGAGAAUAGGGUUGAAUCUCGAGUCACCAUAACAUCCAACUCAAAUAUGCCGGCAGAUUAUACUCCGUUCCUGUUGACUUACUGUCCUUAAAUUGUCGCAUUUCUAGAUUUGCAGCCACGUAUUUCAUUUAUUCGGUAGCCUCUUACGUUCAAAGAGAUAAAAAGAGCCGAAAAGAUUGCUUGAAGUUUUGAACAGACAAAAUAAAAGAUUUGUAAUGCUUCCUUUAUCAUACCUUUUCUUUUAGAAAAUGACAAAGCUUUCGAUAUCUUUUGGUGGAGUGGUUGCUUUAAUUAAUAGAUAAUUUUUUCUUGAUUCCAUAGAAUUCAAACUCGGAUUUUUUUUAAAGGAAAAGGAAGAGAGAAAUUGAGAAAGAAUUAAGUUAUGAUUUGUUGCCAAAGAAAUUUGUCUUUGCAUACAAAUUAUAGUAAUUAAAUAUUAUAUAAUUUUUCACAAGAAUUUUUCUAUGUAUAGGUCAAGGUAUUUUGAAAACUAAUGACUUGCUCACUUUUUAAUUGGGUCUUAGAUAAGCAGUUGUUUACAUUUACAAUUCACUAGAAAAAUUAUUUUUUGCAGCUUCUUUAUAGAUUAAAACUCGAGAUUAUAACAUGAGAAAAUCUCUUUUAUUUAACUAAACUAAUUAAUUACCUGAAAAAUAAUAAAAGACUUCAUAUUCACAAAUUGAGGCAGGCAAUUGGGUAGAGAGUUAGUCCAUUAAUUAUUUUUUUACUAAACAUUAAUGAGAAUAAGAUUUGUCAUUAGAGCAAUGGAAUUUAAACUAAACUAUAAAAUUCAAUGUAUACCAUUUAUAAACUCCUCAUCUCUUAAAACAUUUGUUCUCCUUUAUAAAGAUCGAUCAGCUCAUUCACUGAAAAAAUCUCUUAAUACAUUUUGCAGAGGCAGCGUAUAUAUGAUUUCUCCACAAAGUCAGGCUCUUUGUCUCGGAGGGAAGCCCC